Molecule: ribosomal RNA, 446 nt
Filed under: uncultured bacterium
Lineage: Bacteria
Description: partial 16S ribosomal RNA
Rfam family: Bacterial small subunit ribosomal RNA
Source: RNAcentral
CCUACGGGGGGCAGCAGUCGAGAAUCAUUCACAAUGGGGGAAACCCUGAUGGUGCGACGCCGCGUGGGGGAAUGAAGGUCUUCGGAUUGUAAACCCCUGUCAUGUGGGAGCAAAUUAAAAAGAUAGUACCACAAGAGGAAGAGACGGCUAACUCGGUGCCAGCAGCCGCGGUAAUACAGAGGUCUCAAGCGGUGUUCGGAAUCACUGGGCGUAAAGCGUGCGGAGGCUGUUUCGUAAGUCGUGUGUGAAAGGCGCGGGCUCAACCCGCGGACGGCACAUGAUACUGCGAGACUAGAGUAAGGGAGGGGGAACCGGAAUUCUCGGUGUAGCAGUGAAAUGCGUAGAUAUCGAGAGGAACACUCGUGGCGAAGGCGGGUUCCUGGACAUUAACUGACGCUGAGGCACGAAGGCCAGGGGAGCGAAAGGGAUUAGAUACCCCAGUAGUC